Molecule: non-coding RNA, 722 nt
Organism: Delphinapterus leucas (beluga whale)
Lineage: Eukaryota; Metazoa; Chordata; Mammalia; Artiodactyla; Monodontidae
Source: RefSeq, a predicted model, not a curated record
GGGAGGAGGCCAGCCCUGCUAGCUCGUACCUGAUCUUUGUGGGAAUUGCGAACAGGUGGCCCUUCCGCGGGGCCGGUGCAGACCUGGCCAGGGCGCAGCGUGAGUACCUGAGCUCAGGCUGCCUUCCAGUACCCCCUGCACCCCUGCCCAGGCACCUCUGUGCCAACUGAACCUACUCAAAGGCACUAGAAGGUGAGAAAGGACAUAAAGUGAGGUCCAUAUUCUGAAGGAGAACUACAUGUUGGAAGAAACAAAUGUGGAAGAAAAUGAAGUGUAAGCAUUUGGAGGCCAAAACAUGCUUCAGCUGUGCUUUAAAGAAAGAAAAUGGGCUUUUUGGAACCCUGGAUCUGAUUUCAUCCAAAGUAACUCCUGAAUACCGACCUACACAGAGACACCAUCAACUUCCAUGGACCUACAGAGAAAACAUGGAUUUAAUUCACGUUUUGCUGAGCUAUUCAACUUUGCAAAACUGAUUUAGAAAAUGUGGUCUGAGAAUUUUAAGAAAUUUCUCAUGUCUGUGUCACAAGCCAGGACGGGGUGAGGGUGUGUGGGGAAACUGCACCCUGGCUGCAUUCACCUGGACCCGGAAAGUCUCAUGGGAGGUCUACGCUGUGCCGGGCAGUGUCCAGGCGCUGAGAAAUAAACAACAGAGACUGAUGUGGCCCUGUAGGAACGCACACUCUUGUUUGGGGGCAGGGAGCGUGAUACACUAGACUGUGAUU